This 253-nucleotide ribosomal RNA is filed under the name uncultured Alkalispirillum sp. Its description in RNAcentral is "partial 16S ribosomal RNA". It matches the Rfam family "Bacterial small subunit ribosomal RNA", at positions 524 to 776 of the family's 1533-position model. Lineage: Bacteria; Pseudomonadati; Pseudomonadota; Gammaproteobacteria; Chromatiales; Ectothiorhodospiraceae. The record is from RNAcentral.
UACGGAGGGUGCGAGCGUUAAUCGGAAUUACUGGGCGUAAAGCGCGCGUAGGCGGUUCGAUAAGUCGGGUGUGAAAGCCCCGGGCUCAACCUGGGAAUUGCAUCCGAUACUGUCGGGCUAGAGUUUGGUAGAGGGAAGGGGAAUUCCGGGUGUAGCGGUGAAAUGCGUAGAUAUCCGGAGGAACACCGGUGGCGAAGGCGCCUUCCUGGAUCAAAACUGACGCUGAGGUGCGAAAGCGUGGGGAGCAAACAGG